This 1010-nucleotide long non-coding RNA is filed under the name Olea europaea subsp. europaea. Lineage: Eukaryota; Viridiplantae; Streptophyta; Magnoliopsida; Lamiales; Oleaceae. The record is from RNAcentral.
CUCCAAUAAUAAUUUAAGUAGGAACUAGGUAGGAAUUUUUUCUUGAAUUACUUAUUGCAAAUCACGUUUAUUACUGAUAAAACAUAAAUCAUAAAUGAUAAAUCAAAAUAUGAAUUAAGAGGUCGAUGUCGACGGCGACUUGCAGGAAGCAGUAGCAACAGCAAGUUGCAGGGGUUGAAUUCGAAAUCCCAAGGCAGCAAGACGGAGGAAGGAUUUGCGUGCAAAUGGAAAAUGUAAUUGUCGAAUUGGCUAACAUGAAUAGUGGGUAAUGGAUUUGGAAAAUGCUUUUCUAUUGGAAUUUUGUUAUUUGUACACCGAUGUGAGAGGCCCACGUCCAAUAAAAAAGCGUGGACCUCUUCUUGUUAGGGGCACGUACAUUGGCAUGUGUACAUGUAGCAAAAUUCUUUCUAUAGAACCAAUGGUCCAACUCUAUGCUACAUGAAAAUAAAUUUAGGCUUAAUUUUUAAAUGAGAAUAAUACAUAAUUACUAGACCAUAAGAAUCACAUUUCACAAUAUAUAUAUACACACACACACACAUACACAUACACAUACACACACACACACAUAGCAGAGUUACUGGAGUUGCUCUUCUUACACCGCCUUUCUGUCAUCAACGACUUUGGCCUCCAUGUGCAGUAGAUUUCUGCCCAAAAUAUCCACCUCACCAUCGGCACAGUACCACACACCGCCGAACACACAACAAUAAUGCACCACACACAGAUUGCACCACCUAUUUCACUUUCAAAUAUCACCGAAUCUUGCGUGGUUCACUGGGAAAAUACCAAAAAGAAGACAACAUAAUGGAGGGAAAAUUGAAAUGGAAUCCAGGCUUGUGGGGUGGGGUGGGGUGGAUUGGAGAUAGGUGAUUUUUGGGGAAAGCAUGAAAAGAGGAUAGCUUAAGCUUAAUGGAGGGAGAACUGAAAUCUGGGCUUCUGGGAUGGGUUGGAGUGGGCGAGGUUUUUUUCAGAAGAAACCUUUGUAGAAGAGAAAUUGACUGAACUAAUUGAUG